CAGCCGCCGCGGUAAUACCGGCGGCCCGAGUGGCGGCCACUAUUAUUGGGCUUAAAGCGUCCGUAGCCGGGUUGGUUAGUCUCCCGGGAAAUCUGGCCGCUUAACGGUCAGAAUUCCGGGAGAUACUGCCAGCCUAGGGACCGGGAGAGGCCGAGGGUAUUCCCGGAGUAGGGGUGAAAUCCUAUAAUCCCGGGAGGACCACCUGUGGCGAAGGCGCUCGGCUGGAACGGGUCCGACGGUGAGGGACGAAGGCCAGGGGAGCAAACCGGAUUAGAUACCCGGGUAGUCCUUGCUGUAAACGAUGCGGACUUUGUGUCGGACAAGCUAUGAGCUUGUCCGGUGCCGGAGGGAAACCGUUAAGUCCGCCGCCUGGGGAGUACGGCCGCAAGGCUGAAACUUAAAGGAAUUGGCGGG
This 414-nucleotide ribosomal RNA is filed under the name uncultured microorganism. RNAcentral's name for it is "bacterial SSU rRNA". It matches the Rfam family "Archaeal small subunit ribosomal RNA", at positions 459 to 872 of the family's 1478-position model. The record is from RNAcentral.